This is a long non-coding RNA of Humulus lupulus (European hop), 306 nucleotides long. RefSeq lists it as uncharacterized. NCBI's taxonomy places the organism in Eukaryota, Viridiplantae, Streptophyta, Magnoliopsida, Rosales, Cannabaceae. The record is from RefSeq and is a predicted model, not a curated record. The transcript is spliced from 4 exons.
AUACAGAAAGCAGGUCUCUAUGCUCAUCUUCGCAUUGGACCAUAUGUUUGUGCAGAGUGGAAUUUUGGAGGUUUUCCUGUUUGGCUAAAGUAUGUUCCUGGUAUUAGCUUCAGAACAGACAAUGAGCCUUUUAAGAAUGCAAUGCAAGGGUUCACUGAAAAGAUUGUGAGGAUGAUGAAGAGUGAACAUUUAUUUGAGUCUCAGGGAGGUCCCAUCAUACUGUCUCAGAUUGAUAAUGAAUAUGGAGUACAAAGUAAGUUAUUUGGCCCUCCUGCUCAUAACUACAUGACUUGGGCUGCAAAAAUG